RNAcentral lists this ribosomal RNA (169 nucleotides) under Gerres shima. Its description in RNAcentral is "partial 12S rRNA". Lineage: Eukaryota; Metazoa; Chordata; Actinopteri; Gerreiformes; Gerreidae. The record is from RNAcentral.
CACCGCGGUUACACGAAAGGCCCAAGUUGACAGCCAUCGGCGUAAAGCGUGGUUAGGGCCCUACCAAAAACUAAAGUCGAACUCCUUCAAGACCGUUUAACGUGUUCGAAACGGAGAAGCACAGCUACGAAAGUAACUUUAUAUACCUGACUCCACGAAAGCUAAGGUA